This 484-nucleotide ribosomal RNA is filed under the name Psychrobacillus psychrodurans. Its description in RNAcentral is "bacterial SSU rRNA". It matches the Rfam family "Bacterial small subunit ribosomal RNA", at positions 17 to 481 of the family's 1533-position model. Lineage: Bacteria; Bacillati; Bacillota; Bacilli; Caryophanales; Bacillaceae. The record is from RNAcentral.
UCCUGGCUCAGGACGAACGCUGGCGGCGUGCCUAAUACAUGCAAGUCGAGCGGAUGAUGGAGGAGCUUGCUCCUCCUGAUUCAGCGGCGGACGGGUGAGUAACACGUGGGCAACCUGCCCUGUAGAUUGGGAUAACUCCGGGAAACCGGGGCUAAUACCGAAUAACCCACCGGACCUCAUGGUCUGGUGUUGAAAGACGGCAUCUCGCUGUCACUACAGGAUGGGCCCGCGGCGCAUUAGCUAGUUGGUGAGGUAACGGCUCACCAAGGCCACGAUGCGUAGCCGACCUGAGAGGGUGAUCGGCCACACUGGGACUGAGACACGGCCCAGACUCCUACGGGAGGCAGCAGUAGGGAAUCUUCCACAAUGGACGAAAGUCUGAUGGAGCAACGCCGCGUGAGUGAAGAAGGUUCUCGGAUCGUAAAACUCUGUUGUGAGGGAAGAACAAGUACCGGAGUAACUGCCGGUACCUUGACGGUACCUC